GGAUAUGGAUGGAGGAAAGGAUGUCUGCCUGAUUCUGACAAGUUCCAAUCAUUUCUCCAGCCUGUUCACAUUCUUUGAUGCUUGUUUUGUGCUGGAAUCAGUAUUGUGCAACAGAAAAUGACAACUAUAAAUCCUUGACAAUGAACGUCUUGCACAACGAACGUGCACAGGACAAGCUCUUUGUUGCUUCAUUAUGGCUGCAGGCCUCAGCACGGAGAUUUUCUGGCAGUGCCUCAGAAUAACACCCGAGMUGCCCAUGAAAUCUUUCUGCAGGAAAGGGAGAAGAACUGGAUAUACAGAAAAGAAGUGGCCCYCAAGCAAAUGCCAUUUCCCUGCCUGCACUGGCUUGCUUGUCAUAUCCUAAACUGGGAGAAAGGGAGAUGAAACUCUUUGGUUAAGGUGCUUUCCUCAUCUCC
Molecule: long non-coding RNA, 416 nt
Organism: Nothoprocta perdicaria
Lineage: Eukaryota; Metazoa; Chordata; Aves; Tinamiformes; Tinamidae
Exons: 3
Source: RefSeq, a predicted model, not a curated record